GUUCAUCAAACCUCACAGCACCAGAACUAGGGGACAUUCAGUGAACCUUCAAGGCUAAAGAUAAACAAAAGGAAACAUUUCUUCAAUCAGCUCUGAACAUAUGGAAUUUGUUACCCUAAGAAGUUGCUCAGGCAGGAAGUGCCGGGAUAAACUGAAGGGAUAUUAGAGGUAAAAGCUAGAAGAUGUUCAAACAAUUUGCCUGAAUGUCAGAGAAGGAAGUCCAGCAAUGGUUUAUCUAUAUUCAUACCAAAAGGAAAAGAAAAGGCUGCCUGGUUGCAUAGCACCUGAACAAAGCUUAUUUCUUUGACCAAAGGAGAGAAAUGCAGGAGAAAGUUCAGUUGAAAACCUUUUCUUCAGUGUGAGUUGCUCAACUCAUUUUACUUUUAGUGUUCUCUAUAUGAAAUCAUAAACUUCACAUCUUUGGGGUAAGAGUCAUUUGGCUUGUUCCUUAGGAGAUAAAGUCAAUAAAGAAAAUACCCAAUUUUGCCAUUCAAAAUUCAGGGGCAACAACAAAA
Ornithorhynchus anatinus (platypus) is the source of this 515-nucleotide long non-coding RNA. RefSeq lists it as uncharacterized. Lineage: Eukaryota; Metazoa; Chordata; Mammalia; Monotremata; Ornithorhynchidae. The transcript has 2 exons. The record is from RefSeq and is a predicted model, not a curated record.